GGGGUAUGUGAGGAUGCUGGGGAACCUGCUUAGGGGACUAGACAGUAAUGAAGAUCCAUGACAUGGGAGAGAGGGUAAAACCCGGGAUUAGCAAGGAAGAGCUCAGUAAUAGCCAAGAGCUUCUGCAAGCUUCGGAAGGGUGAUUUUGUUCAAAGAAACCUUAAGAGGUAGAAAGGCAUGAGCAAGUGGAGUCUGAGAAGGGCUUUUUCUCAGCGUGCAGGCGCAGGCGGAAGUUUUAGAAGUGUGGUGGGAGAGACAACUGUGAAAUGGGAAAGAUGCUGAGAAGGAAGCCUCAGAUCGGUGGACAGCCCCAAGAAAGACACGGAGGAGUUACCAGGUGAGGAAACUGAGACCAGAGAAGGAAAAUAACUUGCCGAACGAAGGCUACAAACUUGCAAGUGAUGGGGCCUGGUUGAACUUAAGGUCUUUCUGUUUGGCAAUAGCAUCUCAGUGACAUCCUUGGUUGGAAUAGUUUUAGAAUCAAGGUAAAGAUGGAAGUCAGACCAUGGAGUUCCCAGGAGGAAGGAGCUAGAGGGGAAAUGGGACCUGAGGGGUGGGUUCCCCAUCUGGGUGUUGACAGGGAGGGGAGGGCAGGCGAAGGUGAGAGGCGACAUCCCAGAUCAGGUGGGCCUGGCUGGGCAGCCAGGGUUGGGGCUACAGAGGGCUUGGGCCUCUCAGCAGAGCUGGGGCUCCCUGUGGUAGAGGCUGCAAUUUGGACAUCACAGAGCCCCAGAGAGCAUGAGUCCCCAACCCUGGUCUUUAACUUGUCACCUUCUCCCAGACAUAAACAGCCACCCUCAGGCCUACAGCCAUUCCCCUUUUUGUUGAAAGAGGAAGCAGUCACAGAAGGCACCCUUCACCCACUCUCUGUGGUCUCAAGAAGAGGAACCUGGAUCUGAUUUGGAUUUUUUUGAAGAAAUCUUGCUUUGAUGUGGUCUAAUCCAACUUCUUCAUUUGCUGGUCUGAGUGGGACAGUGGGUGCUGUACCUCUGUGGGGACCGACCAAGGGGAUUCUCUCAGCCAGGGAUCCCCCCAAGGGCGGAGUUUCCCAGCCCCGGUACCCAUGACUCCUCGGGUACCUCCAAUGAUCUCCAGGCUAUUGGAACCUUCUCUAGACAAAAUUUAAAUAUUGAAAUAAAUAUUCUAUGAAAAUAAACCUGUGGGAAAAAAU
This 1171-nucleotide long non-coding RNA is filed under the name Homo sapiens (human). RNAcentral's name for it is "HSALNT0212545". The record is from RNAcentral. Lineage: Eukaryota; Metazoa; Chordata; Mammalia; Primates; Hominidae.